Molecule: long non-coding RNA, 229 nt
Organism: Pipistrellus kuhlii (Kuhl's pipistrelle)
Lineage: Eukaryota; Metazoa; Chordata; Mammalia; Chiroptera; Vespertilionidae
Exons: 2
Source: RefSeq, a predicted model, not a curated record
UACAGUGGUGGGUACAUGUCCUUAUGCAAGUCAAAACCCACAGAACAUUCAAGAGUGAACCCUAAUGUAAACUAUGGACACAGGGUGAUAACGAUGUGUUAAUAUAGGUGCAUUAGUUUUAACAGACGUCCCACUCUGGUGCAAGAUGCUGUGCAUAUAUGGGAGCAGAAAUUACAAGGGAAUCUCUGUACUUUCCUCUCAACUCUGGUGUGACCCUAGAACUGCUCUA